GGUCAUGAGAGGGCAAUCGGGUUUGACAUGUCACCCCAGAUUCUCAGGUUUGUCCAGCUGAUCUGGCUGGCUGGUGUAGCAGCCCCACCCUCAUGGCCCCAGGUGGUCUCUCUCAAAGUUGCUCUUGUAUUGGAAUGCAAUGACAUUUCCAGGAGGCAGUGAAUCAUUCUUUUGUCAAGGAUUUACCAGUAGCUGACGAGAAUGUUUCAUUUCCCCUCAAGAAAUUACAACAAUGUAUUUAGACCUCUAUGUCACACCAUACACAAAAAUUAACUCAAGAUAGAU
RNAcentral lists this small nuclear RNA (285 nucleotides) under Camelus bactrianus (Bactrian camel). RNAcentral's name for it is "7SK RNA". It matches the Rfam family "7SK RNA". From Rfam's summary of the family: 7SK was discovered as an abundant small nuclear RNA in the mid-70s but a possible function has only recently been suggested. Two independent studies have found that 7SK RNA binds the CDK9/cyclin T complex (known as elongation factor P-TEFb). The record is from Rfam by way of RNAcentral. RNAcentral also lists the same sequence under 2 other names. Lineage: Eukaryota; Metazoa; Chordata; Mammalia; Artiodactyla; Camelidae.